RNAcentral lists this ribosomal RNA (200 nucleotides) under uncultured bacterium. RNAcentral describes it as "partial 16S ribosomal RNA". It matches the Rfam family "Bacterial small subunit ribosomal RNA", at positions 30 to 232 of the family's 1533-position model. The record is from RNAcentral.
AUUGAACGCUGGCGGCAGGCCUAACACAUGCAAGUCGAGCGGUUGAGGUAGCUUGCUACCGAUGCAGCGGCGGACGGGUGAGUAAUACAUGGGAAUCUGCCUGGUAGUGGGGGACAACGUUUCGAAAGGAACGCUAAUACCGCAUACGCCCUACGGGGGAAAGGGGGGGAUCGCAAGACCUCUCGCUAUCAGAUGAGCCC